UGGGUGUUCAGACUUCAACAUAUGAAUUUAAAGGACACAAUCAUGCAUAAUUGUGACAUCAGGGAUAGGAAGCAGGAAGAGUCUAUAUAACGAAAAGCACCGGCAGACCAUGAGGAAGAAGAGAGCCAUGGUGUUCAACCAAGUCAAAGCCAAAAGCCACCUCUGGAAGGAGAGCCAUUCACACUGAGGUCACAAGUGGUUCACAGACACUCAGUGAGAACGCUACAGUAAUGUGGCCAUUUAUUUUGUAGCUGCAUUGCUACUAAAAAUGGACUGUCAUUCAUCACACCUUCUGAGAAAGCAAAGGAUAUGCAGAAUAGAGCAUAAAUAUCUGAAAAAGAAACUGAUGUUUACCUCUAGGAGUAAAGGACUCAUCGCAGGGGCUCAUAUCCCCCAGGACGAACAGAAGAUUUUCCUUCUAGGACAGAAAGAAGAUUUUCCUGCCACUUUUGCCAUCUGGAAAUUUUGGAUCGCCCAUCCUUCCUGGAAGAGAUGUAUAUGUUCCUAUAAAUAUAAAUCGUAAUAAGUUCCUCCA
Molecule: small RNA, 535 nt
Filed under: Rattus norvegicus (Norway rat)
Lineage: Eukaryota; Metazoa; Chordata; Mammalia; Rodentia; Muridae
Description: uncharacterized LOC108350707
Source: RNAcentral